Molecule: long non-coding RNA, 3352 nt
Organism: Ictalurus punctatus (channel catfish)
Lineage: Eukaryota; Metazoa; Chordata; Actinopteri; Siluriformes; Ictaluridae
Source: Ensembl
ACCGUCAACACCACCAAUAACACCGUCAACACCACCGAUAACACAGUCAACACCACCGAUAACACAGUCAACACCACCGAUAACACCGUCAACACCAACGCCACCGAUAACACAGUCAACACACACCGAUAACACAGUCAACACCAACACCACCGAUAACACCCGUCAACACCCUCAACACCACCAAUAUCACCCUCAACACCACCAAUAACACCCAACACACACCGAUAACACCGUCAACACCCUCAACACCACCAAUAGCACCCUCAACACCACCGAUAACACCCUCAGCACCAACACCACCGAUAACACAGUCAACACCACCGAUAACACAGUCAGCACCAACACCACCGAUUAACACAGUCAACACCAACACCACCGAUAACACCAUCAACACCACCGAUAACACAGUCAACACCAACACCACCGAUAACACCGUCAACACCACCGAUAACACCGUCAACACCACCAAUAACACCGUCAACACCACCGAUAACACCGUCAACACCACCAUAACACCGUCAACACCACCAAUAACACAGUCAACACCACCGAUAACACAGUCAACACCACCGAUAACACCACCAACACCACCGAUAACACCGCCAACACCACCGAUAACACCGUCAACACCACCGAUAACACCGCCAACACCACCAAUAACACAGUCAACACCACCGAUAACACUAUCAUCACCACCGAUAAACACCCAAACACCACCGAUAACACAGUCAAACACCACCGAUAAACACCGUCAACACCACCAAUAACACCGUCAACACCACCAAUAACACCGUCAACACCACCGAUAACACAGUCAACACCACCGAUAACACAGUCAACACCACCGAUAACACCGUCAACACCAACGCCACGAUAACACAGUCAACACCACCGAUAACACCGUCAACACCAACACCACCGAUAACACCGUCAACACCACCAAUAUCACCCUCAACACCACCGAUAAUACCCUCAGCACCAACACCACCGAUAACACCGCCAACACCACCAAUAACACAGUCAACACCACCGAUAACACCGUCAACACCACCGAUAACACCGUCAACACCAACACCACCGAUAACACCGUCAACACCACCAAUAUCACCCUCAACACCACCGAUAACAGUCAACACCACCGAUAACACAGUCAACACCACCGAUAACACCGUCAACACCACCGAUAACACCGUCAACACCACCGAUAACACCGUCAACACCACCGAUAACACAGUCAACACCACCGAUAACACAGUCAACACCACCGAUAACACCGUCAACACCACCGAUAACACAGUCAACACCACCGAUAACACAGUCAACACCACCGAUAACACCGUCAACACCACCGAUAACACAGUCAACACCACCGAUAACACAGUCAACACCACCGAUAACACCGUCAACACCACCAAUAACACCGUCAACACCACCGAUAAUACCCUCAGCACCAACACCACCGAUAACACCGCCAACACCCACCGAUAACACCGUCAACACCACCGAUAACACCGCCAACACCACCGAUAACACCGUCAACACCAACGCUAACACCGCCAACACCACCGAUAACACCGUCAACACCACCGAUAACACAGUCAACACCACCGAUAACACUGUCAACACCAACGCCACCGAUAACACAGUCAACACCACCGAUAACACCGUCAACACCACCGAUAACACCCAAACACCACCGAUAACACCCAAACACCACCAAUAACACCGUCAACACCACCAAUAACACCGUCAACACCACCAAUAACACCGUCAACACCAACGCCACCGAUAACACCGUCAACACCACCGAUAAUACCCUCAGCACCAACACCACCGAUAACACCGCCAACACCACCGAUAACACCGUCAACACCACCGAUAACACCCAAACACCACCGAUAACACCGUCAACACCACCGAUAACACCCAAACACCACCGAUAACACCGCCAACACCACCGAUAACACUGUCAACACCACCGCUAACACCGCCAACACCACCGAUAACACCGUCAACACCACCGAUAACACAGUCAACACCACCGAUAACACUGUCAACACCAACGCCACCGAUAACACAGUCAACACCACCGAUAACACCGUCAACACCACCGAUAACACCCAAACACCACCGAUAACACCCAAACACCACCGAUAACACCGUCAACACCACCGAUAACACCGUCAACACCACCAAUAACACAGUCAACACCAACGCCACCGAUAACACAGUCAACACCACCGAUAACACCGUCAACACCACCGAUAACACCGUCAACACCACCAAUAACACCGUCAACACCACCGAUAACACCGUCAACACCACCGAUAACACCCAAACACCACCGAUAACACAGUCAACACCACCGAUAACACAGUCAACACCACCGAUAACACCGUCAACACCAACAUAUUCCACGUGUAGAUUACAAAUAAACAACAACAUUUAAUCAGUAAAAUACAGCCUUAACACUUCCUUAAAUCCACAUGUACAGAGUUUAAUCACACACUUGUGAUCUUUGGUGUUCAGUUAAAAAGAUAAAAUCCCCGUCAGGAAGAAACACUGAUUCAGAGAAACACCAAUAAACCACUGUCUGAUUCACACCCUCUCUCUGCUGGGGGAGAGAUUCAGAGAGAUGUAUCCAAGACAUCUUUAAAAAAGAUUUUAAAAAUGCAAGAAACUCAUGACUGCACUUAACUAAAUCAGUGCAUGCAAAUGCAUCGAGCUGCCAUGUUUCCUACUGAGAGAAUGAAAAGGGAAAUAAAAGCAGGGAAUGUUCGGUUCUGAUCCGGUGCACUGGGGGGUAAAGGGGCUUUUAAUUACAGUGUAAAUGUCGGUGUGUAAGUGGAGCGUCAGGAUCACUCGGCACUCUAAUCUCACACUCCACAUGGAAAUACAGAACCGGUUCAGAAUUGAGUACAGUACAUGACACGGUCACUUCAUCUGCUCGAUAAGAAACGCCUCUAAAUUUACUCCAGCUGCACACAACAGGAGGUCCGACACCGCAGAAGGUCACGCAGGAGGAGUUUCAUUCGAGAAGUGAAGUUUCCUCUCCAUUUAACACGAUAAACAUCUCCGGACACAAUUUUCCUUUCACACAGAGCUCUCUCUCUCUCUCACACACACACACACACACACACACACACACACACACACACACACAGAGAGAGAACAAAAACUCAGUGGAGGAAUAGGUAAAUAAAUAAACAAUUUUAAAAAAGGCACAAUAUCAAAUAGACAGAAAUAUAACCUAAUAAUCAUAUUAAAAUUAAUUCUACAACUGAAAGUAACGCUAAUAAUCAUAAUAAUAAUAACAAAUAUCUGUAUAUAUAAAUACACAUAUUACUAA